CAACAGUGCCAAUCUAGGAGGAAAACAUGCCCGCCACAAAGAGUUCAGCACCAAACUCUUCCUUGUGAUGGAACCAUAAUCUAGUCAAAUAACGGGAAGUAAGCCGUGAAGAAAGGAAUCCCCCAAAGGAGGCAGGAGCUUCGAACUCUGGACCUGUCCCCUUCCUCAAUCUCUUCCUUCUCCCCCCUUCAUUUCUGUUUUCCUCUUUCUGCUAAGUGGCAGCAGAUAAGAUCUCAAGUGCUCAAUCUCUAGAACUGGGGUAAGGCUGCCUUGUCAAUCUCAUGCAGAUCCCUUUGGGUCAAGGUCUCAUUUAGUCCUAACUCCUGUAAUUCUCGAAUGUUUAACAACACCCUGCAUGCUACAAGAGCUAGUUCAUGGGCUUGGACACGAAGUCGAAAUUCCUUCAAGAGCUCUAAUCCGCACCAUUUCAUACUAUAUAAUGACUAUGAUUCAUCUUUUCUCCAAUUAUUUUGAAUGAGUCAGUUUUAUCCUAAUAAAAUAAUCUCACAAAAUGAAAUCAUUAAAAGAAAUUCAUAUUUGCAUGCUGUAUUUGAGCUUUCAAAGCAUCAAUAAAUGAGACUUUCAAAAAGUAAGCAUGCCAGCACUUUAAUACCCAAAUGAGAAGUCCUUCCAGUUCAUGAUCUUGUGGAACCAAGCACUCAUCUCACUGAUAUUCUCCCUGUAAACUGGCCUCAGAACCAGCUUCUCUCACUUCACCUUCCACCCAGGCUGGCAGCUACUCCUCCUGAACAUCCACCUUGUUAAUCAGAUUGGAUUCAAAUGAUGAAUUUUUAAAAGAUCAAAUUCAUCUUCCUGAGUUGAGUUCAUUAAAAGUCAUGAGCUCUGGUCUUUGAAGACCUUCUCAAAAAGAAGCUCCCAAAAGUCUGGGGCAAGGACACCAGCACCUAUGUCAUCGGACGAUUUCCCUGGUGGUUGCUUUGUGGCAUCUAAAACUGACUUAGAAAAACACAAGCUGUGGCAUCUGAGAUCACCUCCUCGUCCAUCUUAUACUCUGCUGAUCUGCACGGCGACCCCUAAGACACUGGGAAUUGUUAUUCCCAUUCUGACGGACAAGGAACGUGGGUACAUCCGGGUCAAGAAUUCCAUUGACUGAGGUCACACUGGAUGUUAGUGGGCAGAGAGACGUGACUGCAGCCCUCGCCUGCCUGUGUGUAGCUUGUUUCACUUCGGUAGAACAUUAGCUGACCGGACACAUUUUUGCCACACCGUUUUAGGAAAGGCAUAGGAUUCUGGCUUUCUUAUAAGGUUUUUCCCACCAUGGGAUGGCCUCCAAAGAAUUCCUCCAUUCCAAAACCCUGAAAUUUUGCUUCUACAUGUGCUGGCAGGGUUACCAUUGGGGACUUCCGAAGACUACAGAGUAACCAGAAUAAUCUGGAAGAAACUGUGCUUCCGUGGAGCCCACCUGGCACUUGGAGCCAGCCCUCGGCUCCAGCCUACGGAGCACAUGACGAAUAACUUGAAAAUAACACGCACUAAAACUUGAGUGUGUUCUUCCUGUCCCUUUAGAUUUCCUCAUUGGUGUCCACCACGCUGAGGAGGGAGGGAGAUCUUCCCAAAUGUGUCCCUUCCUCCUGUGAGCUCACAGCCCUCCGGCUCACCGCAGACCACCAGGCUCUGAGAGGGUCGAGGAGCCGACGUCUGGGCCUACGCAGGACAUAAAUUCCUGCCGGUGCAAUUCAAACAACUGUCAGCGCUUCUAACAACUGCCAAGCCAAAGUGCUGUUUGCAGGACUGUGAUGCUGGGAGCCUGGGCAGUGGCUAGGCCUGGGCUGUGUGAACCCAGAGAGAGGCACGACACUGGCCCGCUCACCCAACGCCUGGCCCAGGGCCACCGUGACAGGUGCCUGCCAGGACACCCGGGGAAACGGUGCCUCCUCUUCCAUAGCCCACACUGUUCCAGCAGGGAAUGCUGGCCUGAGAACCCUGCUUGUUGAGAACAAGGACAUCAGGCUCAGAGCAGUCAGGGCUGGGUCAAACAGGAGACAUGACAACCAUGUGCCCCUAAUAUUAAAUAAGAUGUGUUUUCUCUCUCUUUUUCAGAAUUUUCCCUUCAUUUUAGAGAAUUACAGGCACCCCAUAGAUCUCUGAUAGGGAUGAACAGCACACUUAAGUACUUAUAUUAGAUCUUGGUUUUGGCUGGUUCACAAGUUGGAGAAGUGAAUGAACUAAAGUGUCUUUUAAAUGAGAGACAAAUCACACUUUGGAAAAGGAGGGCCAGGCGUGGUGGCUCACACCUGUAAUCCCAGCACUUUGGAAGGCUGAGGUGGGAGGAUCGCUUGAGGCCAGGAGGUGGGAGACCAGCCUGGGCCGCAGAGCAAGACCCCGUCUCUACAAAAAAAUAAAAAUAAAAAAUAAAAAGCCA
This is a long non-coding RNA of Homo sapiens (human), 2383 nucleotides long. RefSeq lists it as uncharacterized. The record is from RefSeq and is a predicted model, not a curated record. The transcript has 2 exons. NCBI's taxonomy places the organism in Eukaryota, Metazoa, Chordata, Mammalia, Primates, Hominidae.